This 71-nucleotide transfer RNA is filed under the name Marmota monax (woodchuck). RNAcentral's name for it is "tRNA.Ala". It matches the Rfam family "tRNA". Rfam says of the family: Transfer RNA (tRNA) molecules are approximately 80 nucleotides in length. Their secondary structure includes four short double-helical elements and three loops (D, anti-codon, and T loops). Further hydrogen bonds mediate the characteristic L-shaped molecular structure. tRNAs have two regions of fundamental functional importance: the anti-codon, which is responsible for specific mRNA codon recognition, and the 3' end, to which the tRNAs corresponding amino acid is attached (by aminoacyl-tRNA synthetases). tRNAs cope with the degeneracy of the genetic code in two manners: having more than one tRNA (with a specific anti-codon) for a particular amino acid; and 'wobble' base-pairing, i.e. permitting non-standard base-pairing at the 3rd anti-codon position. The record is from RNAcentral. Lineage: Eukaryota; Metazoa; Chordata; Mammalia; Rodentia; Sciuridae.
GGGGUUGUGGCUCAGUGGUAGAGUGCUCACCUAGCAUAUGUGAGGCACUGGGUUCAAUCCUCAGCACCACA